Small nucleolar RNA from Suricata suricatta (meerkat), 129 nucleotides. The record is from Ensembl. NCBI's taxonomy places the organism in Eukaryota, Metazoa, Chordata, Mammalia, Carnivora, Herpestidae.
AAUCCCACAAAUGAAUCUGCUUACAUGAAUGUGUUUCUGCAGAAACUUGGGAAAAGCUGGCAAUGGUAAGCCAUGUUACAAGCCUUAAAGAUAUUGAAGUCAUUAAGGUCCCUAAAAAUGGCUAUAAGA